Molecule: ribosomal RNA, 237 nt
Filed under: uncultured bacterium
Lineage: Bacteria
Description: partial 16S ribosomal RNA
Rfam family: Bacterial small subunit ribosomal RNA
Source: RNAcentral
CCGGCACGGGUGAGUAACACGUAUCCAACCUGCCGUCUACUCUUGGACAGCCUUCUGAAAGGAAGAUUAAUCCAAGAUGGCAUCAUGAGUCCACAUGUUCACAUGAUUAAAGGUAUUCCGGUAGACGAUGGGGAUGCGUUCCAUUAGAUAGUAGGCGGGGUAACGGCCCACCUAGUCUUCGAUGGAUAGGGGUUCUGAGAGGAAGGUCCCCCACAUUGGAACUGAGACACGGUCCAA